RNAcentral lists this long non-coding RNA (818 nucleotides) under Phaseolus vulgaris (common bean). RNAcentral describes it as "long non-coding RNA (PVUL_LNC003323)". The record is from RNAcentral. Lineage: Eukaryota; Viridiplantae; Streptophyta; Magnoliopsida; Fabales; Fabaceae.
AGCACCUAGAAAAUGGUAACAUUCUCAACCAAUAACUCUAUUUCUGCUUCCACUGUUGCAGCUUUUUGUGCAAAACUUUUCAUUCUCAGAUUCUGUGUUCUAACACAUGAGUGUGUGGGUAAUUUAUUGUUAUCUUAUCACAAAAUGAUGAAGAGGACUAGUGUUAUCUAGUUUUAAUCCAGUUUUACACAGAUUUAAGGUGAUUUUUCUUUCUAAUUUCUCUUUCCUCCGACCUGUAAUUACUUCUGUUUGAGUUGACCGAGACUUGCAUGAAUAUGCAGAUCGAUCGAUACAUUUAAUUCAUUAAAAGGUGAAUAAAGUUAAACCACUAUUAAGAAAUAGAUACACUCCACUAAUCUGGUCUAAUAAGAUAAGUUCAUUAAAAUAAUAUAAAUAGUACACAUUUUAAGAAGAAAAGUACGUCAGUAUCACUGUACAUCUCGAGUGCCGAAUAUUCUUUUUGCUGACUUGAGCGUCAGAGUGCCUUAUGUAUGUAACCUCCCAUCCGGCACCUACAUGAGACUGAGAGACCGAGGCCCGAGGGAGUAACAUCGAGGCGAGAAGGAUCACAACAAAACUCCAACAAUCUGCGUGAAAGAAGAAAGAAGACGAAGCCCUUUAAUAAUUUUCUAGGUCUGAACUCCUUAUCACAAACAUCUUUAAAUCUUUUUUGGAUUAUAAUAAGAAUUCGUAAAAUAAUUAACUUACACUUUAAUUACUAUAUACCAUAAAUUGUUGCUGUUUUUUCAUUUUUUUUUAUCUCAGUUAUCAAUGUCGGAGUCAAUCUUCUUUUAUUUAUUAUGUUUUUCAUGAAUGGA